GUAGUCAUAUGCUUGUCUCAAAGCUUAAGCCAUGCAUGUCUCAGUGCAAACUAAAUUAAAGUAAAACCGCAAAAUGCUCAUUAAACUAGUUAUAAUUUACUAGAAAAAUUUUUUUUUUGGAUAACUGUGGUAAUUCUAGAGCUAAUACAUUAAAUCAAAGUUUUGCCUAUUGGUUUAGGAAAAACGAAUUUUAUUAGGUCAAAACCAAUCGAAUGGUAUUUAUUAUCAUUCGAAAAAAUUGAUGACUCUGAAUAAUACCACAGAUCGCAUAGUCUAGGAACUGGCGACAUAUCUUUCAAAUGCCUAACUUAUCAACUGUCGAUGGUGGAUUAUAUGUCUACCAUGGUUGUAACGGGUAACGGGGAAUCAGGGUUCGAUUCCGGAGAGGGAGCCUGAGAAACAGCUACCACAUCCAAGGAAGGACUCCCAGAACGGGGAGGUAGUGACAAAAAAUAACGGUACGGGACUCAUCCGAGGCCCCGUAACUGGAAUGAAUACACUUUAAAUCCUUUAAUAAAGAUCUAUCGGAGGGCCAGUCUGGUGCCAGCAGCUGCGGUAAUACCAGCUCUGAUAGCGUAUAUUAAAGUUGUUGCGUUUAAAAAGCUCGUAGUUGGUUCUGUGUGCCAUGCUGUUGGUUCUCCGCCUGCCGGUGUAACUGACAUGUCAUGGGACGUCCUAUUGGUGGUAACUUCAAAGGGGGCCUAAAAGUUUGGAAUUGGACAAUUAACUUUGUUUCAACCAAAUGUUUUAGGACUACCCUUUAGUUACCGAAUCUCUAAAUCCCGCCGCGGUGCUCUUUACUGAGUGUCGAGGUGGGCCGAUACGUUUACUUUGAACAAAUUAGAGUGCUCAAAGCAGGCAAAAAAUUGCCUUUGAAUAGUGGUGCAUGGAAUAAUAGAAUAUGACCAUUGGUUCUAUUUUGUUGGUUUAUUGAAUCCAAGGUAAUGAUCAAUAUGGACAGGCGGGGGCAUUCGUAUUGCGACGUUAGAGGUGAAAUUCUUGGAUCGUCGCAGGACGAACUAGAGCGAAAGCAUUUGCCAAGUAUGUCUUAAUUGAUCAAGAACGAAAGUUAGAGGCUCAAAGGCGAUCAGAUACCGCCCUAGUUCUAACCAUAAACGAUGCCAGCCAGCGAUCCGUCGAUGUUUAUUUCAUGACUCGACGGGCAGCUUCCGGGAAACCAAAGCUUUUGGGUUCCGGGGGAAGUAUGGUUGCAAAGCUGAAACUUAAAGGAAUUGACGGAAGGGAACCACAAGGAGUGGGGCCUGCGGCUCAAUUUGACUCAACACAGGAAAUUUUACCAAGUCCAGACAUUGGAAGGAUUGACAGAUUGAUUGCUCUUUCUUGAUUCAGUGGGUAGUGGUGCGUUGGUGGAUUAAUUUGUCAAGUUAAUUCUGAUAACGAACGAGACUCUGGCUUAUUAACUAGGCGUUUGGUAUUUUUGCUACCUUCGUCUUUUUUCUUCUUAGAAGGACAGGUGGCUAUUAGCCACACGAGAUUGAGCAAUAACAGGUCUGCAUGCCCUUAGAUGUCUUGGGCCGCACGCGCGCCACACUGAAGGAAUCAGCGUGUUUUUCCCUGUUCAAAAGGACCGGGUAACCCGUUGAACCUCCUUCGUGCUAGGAAUUGGGGCUUGCAAUUCUUCCCCAUAAACGAGGAAUUUCCAGUAAGCGCGAGUCAUAAGCUCGCGCUGAUUACGUCCCUGCCCUUUGUGCACACCGCCCGUCGCUACUACCGAUUGAAUGAUUUAGUGAGGUCUUCAGACUGGUAAUAAUGGUCCUUGCCUUGUGCUUGGAUUAAAUUUACCGGAAAGAUGACCAAACUUGAUCAUUUAGAGGAAGUAAAAGUCGUAACAAGG
RNAcentral lists this ribosomal RNA (1855 nucleotides) under Ceratocomboides sp. UCR ENT 00063172. Its description in RNAcentral is "SSU rRNA". It matches the Rfam family "Eukaryotic small subunit ribosomal RNA". The record is from RNAcentral. Lineage: Eukaryota; Metazoa; Arthropoda; Insecta; Hemiptera; Ceratocombidae.